UUGGGAUAUAUAUCCCAUAUAACAUGCAGAACAAUACAACUGUUUUUCUUAAUACCUUAUCUGUAGAAACUUUCUCAGCAGCAGUACAGGAAUUGACAGAGUAAACAGUUUUCCUUACAUAUCCCUCAGGAACCAGCAACACUGAGAUGUUAGCAAUUUGCUCUGGUUGUAAUUUCACAAAGUGGAUGUCUAAUGUACGUGGCACCAGAUGUAUCUGAAGGAGAGGAUAUGUUCCUCAGGGAGAAACUUGUUUUGCUGACACACUUAUCAAACAACUAUCUCGACCCUGCAGGCAGCAUUUGUUACCACACUUUCUGUCCCAUUUUCUAAAGAAAAAAUAAAAAAAAUGUCACCUUUAGAAGAGAGUCAGAACUCUACCAAAUGGCUGAGAAGAUAUUCAUUUUCUUUUCUUUCUUGGUUUCACAGCUUCCUACUUAGUCUAGCAAACCACUCCAUGUAUAGCUGCACAGACUUGUGGUGGAUACAGGAAAGGAAGUUUUGCAUUUGCCAUGAAGUUGUAUGGGAGAAAUGAGAGUUGCAUUUCUAACCAAAUUAGAAAUGAGGGGAGAUGAGUUGUUUUCUAAUGGAGAAGUGCUGGUCCUCUUCCUAAUCUUCAGAGUACUUCAGGAGCAAAACAAAAUUUUUGACAGUAAAAUGGCAGUUUUGUGAGACAGUCUGAGAUGGCAUGACCUGUACUUCAUCCUUGGAGAGUUACACUAGUGAGGAAGGAAUGUCAGGACAAACAACAUCUUCAAGCAGACAAAACUUUAAAACUUACCUGGAGCCUGCCGUUUCAUUCUUUACACAGCUGGUGCCUGCUGCCUGCUGCCUCCAGAUGAAUAUCAGUUUUUCGUACUAUUCAAGUGGAUUAGCUGCUUCCAAUAUCUUUGAUAAUAUACAAUGUAAGUUUUGUGUAUUGUUAAUCAUAUUUUGUAACCUGUAAACAAUAAAAAUAAUCAUUAUGCUUACGUCA
This 973-nucleotide long non-coding RNA is filed under the name Coturnix japonica (Japanese quail). RNAcentral's name for it is "lncRNA (ENSCJPG00005011024.1)". Lineage: Eukaryota; Metazoa; Chordata; Aves; Galliformes; Phasianidae. The record is from RNAcentral.